Molecule: long non-coding RNA, 649 nt
Organism: Ailuropoda melanoleuca (giant panda)
Lineage: Eukaryota; Metazoa; Chordata; Mammalia; Carnivora; Ursidae
Exons: 3
Source: RefSeq, a predicted model, not a curated record
GUUGCAGAGCCAGGAUUCAAACACAGGCCACCUUUCUCCAGGACCCUUGCUCCACACCACUGUGGAGAGAAACCAACAGCUGCUGAGAUGGCUGAGGCUGGACGGUUUAUGACAGCCUUGCUGGCCACUUGGGACAACUGGGGCCUCCCUUUACAUGGCUGUUCUCCCCGGACAGGCUUCCCAGCACCUGCCUUCAAAGGCCGAAGCGCCUCCCAGAUGGCCCCUUGAACAUCGGCGGGGCUCAGCCCUCUGAUCUUCCCUCACCACUGAGAAAGGGGGCCAGCGGGACCCCAGACCUCCUGUGCGGGCCCAUCCCGGAGCUGCCCAGUGGUCAGACCCAGAAAGUCGCCUGCCUCCGGGCCGGGUGCCGCCACAUCACAGAGGACACCUGAACUACAGCUUUUGUCGUGACAAGACAGAAUCAGAAGAUAAUAAGGAUUCUCCAAGCUGACUCUGGCUGAGGGCUUUUUUUUUUUUUAAUCCCACCCUGUUGCUCCAAGGGAAAGAAAGACUGAAAAAGCACCACUUCCCUCCAUCUUCCUCCAUAGUAUUAUUUCCACAGCUUGAUAGAGAAGAGCACAUUAAAAUCGCCCAAGCAUGGGAAAAUAAAAAAUGACUAUUGUAUGAUACAAAUUGGACCAGAUAAUUC